RNAcentral lists this ribosomal RNA (460 nucleotides) under uncultured bacterium. RNAcentral describes it as "partial 16S ribosomal RNA". It matches the Rfam family "Bacterial small subunit ribosomal RNA", at positions 338 to 795 of the family's 1533-position model. The record is from RNAcentral.
CCUACGGGGUGCAGCAGUGAGGAAUAUUGGUCAAUGGACGAGAGUCUGAACCAGCCAAGUAGCGUGAAGGAUGACUGCCCUAUGGGUUGUAAACUUCUUUUAUAUGGGAAUAAAAUGUUCCACGUGUGGGAUUUUGUAUGUACCAUAUGAAUAAGGAUCGGCUAACUCCGUGCCAGCAGCCGCGGUAAUACGGAGGAUCCGAGCGUUAUCCGGAUUUAUUGGGUUUAAAGGGCGCGUAGGUGGAUUGUUAAGUCAGUUGUGAAAGUUUGCGGCUCAACCGUAAAAUUGCAGUUGAAACUGGCAGUCUUGAGUACAGUAGAGGUGGGCGGAAUGCGUGGUGUAGCGGUGAAAUGCUUAGAUAUCACGAAGAACUCCGAUUGCGAAGGCAGUUCACUGGACUGCAACUGACACUGAGGCUCGAAAGUGUGGGUAUCAAACAGGAUUAGAUACCCGGGUAGUC